This 253-nucleotide ribosomal RNA is filed under the name uncultured bacterium. Its description in RNAcentral is "partial 16S ribosomal RNA". It matches the Rfam family "Bacterial small subunit ribosomal RNA", at positions 524 to 776 of the family's 1533-position model. The record is from RNAcentral.
UACAGAGGUCCCAAGCGUUGUUCGGAUUCAUUGGGCGUAAAGCGUGCGCAGGCGGCUUUGCAAGACAGAUGUGAAAUCCCCGGGCUUAACCUGGGAACUGCAUUUGUGACUGCAUGGCUAGAGUGCGGCAGAGGGGGAUGGAAUUCCGCGUGUAGCAGUGAAAUGCGUAGAUAUGCGGAGGAACACCGAUGGCGAAGGCAAUCCCCUGGGCCGGCACUGACGCUCAUGCACGAAAGCGUGGGGAGCAAACAGG